CUCAGCCGCAUCCCAACAUACCUCCACGACAAGUCUCUCCACCUUGCCACACACAUCUGCCCUUGGUGCUACCUCCACGACAAGUCUCUCCACCAAGCCGCAUACAUCUGCCCUUGGUGAAGCACCAUCAUCGUCCAUGUCUGCUCCACCAUCACCGGUGCCCCAUGCGGGUCAAUCUCCAACCAGAUCCGGUACUAUUGUCCAUGCUAUCGACACGGAAAACAUCAACAAGGUAGCAAAGGAUGAGGAUAUAAAUAAUAUGCAGAUUGAAGAGGAGAUAAAGAAAGACGAGGAUACAAACACUGAGUCGGCAGAGGUGAUACAAGAAGAAUCUACAAUGGAGGAUACAGAGAAUAUGCAGAUUGAAGAGGUGAUAACCGUACAAGAGGAUACAGAUCCCAAGUCCACAAAGGCUACACAAGAGUCCAUUACGAAGGGUCCACAAAACAUGCUUUUUGAUGCUGUCAUAACCAAGGCUGGAGGUACAAUCCCCGAAUCGACAGAGGCAAGUUUUCUUUCCACAUGUCAUUACUAUUCAAUUAAAAUGCCACAGGUCAGUUUGUAAUAUAUUAGUACAAUAUCAUAUAAAAAGAUAUUCUCUCUAUUACAAUAUUGUACUACCACGUGUUUCAGCUACCGAGCGAUGACGAAUCAAGUGAAAUACUGAACAAUAAUGAAGUGGAGGAAAGUAAUUGCAUGAAGAGCUCAGAAUAUACACCUAUUCUUGAUGAAAACAUAGCAAACAGAGAGGCCAAAUAUUCUGAACAUACACAGAAAUUAACCCACAAUGAAACAAGUCAACAAAUGGUGGUAAAUGAGGACAAGGAAUUGGCACAAACACCCGGCACGGAAGGUCUUCAAACUAUAGAGGACAAGCUAACAAUGCUCGUGCAUAUAAAGAAACAUAUACGACGGCAUAACAAGCCUAAGAUAGCACGAGACUAUGUUGUUUCUCCACAAGGCACAGAACAAAACCUUCAAUGUCCUUGUACUGCUACAUUAUUGUUUUUGUGUUCAUUAUCAUUAAAUGUUAUCAUGGCCAUCAUGACAGAUUAUGCCUGCACUGGCGAUGAUUGGUCCGUUAUACAAAAUAUCAGAUCCGAAACCAGCAAAGAAAGAAAUUUAGUGAGCAUCGGCGACACAUUUCUGAAAAAAAGACAUUUACUAUCUCUUCUAACUCCCGGAGAAUGGGUUGGCGACGAAGUAAUAAAUACGUACAUAAAUUGCAUGACUGCUACGGAGCAUCUACAAGUAAGGUCAGGUGGAACCGUGUUCUUAGAGAAUGCAUGCAUCUCAAAGAUGAUAAAGAUCGGUAGCUAUCUGCCCUCAGAUGACACGGAUGCUGCACCAGCAUGGGUAUUACACAGAGCCAAAGCGUAUUUGGAAAAUGAUAUGAUACACAUUCCAAUAAACAUGGACGACGUUCACUAGUACCUAUGUGUUAUAAAUGCCAAAAAACAAUGUGUUCAAGUGCUCGACUCGCUAGGCCCAUACAUGAACCGCAAGGACCUCAUUGAUACGAAGGACUAGAGGAUUUAUUCAAAUAUGCAUCCAAGCACAUGGAAUUAAAAUCCGACAAGUGGACUAAUCUAGAUGUUACAACAUGGAAAAGAGAAGAAUAUAUUAAUAGCGGUCUUCAAACGGAUGGGUCAUCUUGUGGUCUCUGGAUGUUAAAUUAUAUGGAGUACUUCACGGAAGAUAGUUUGUCCGACACUCUCGAACAGGUAUAUCUUGCAUCGUAUCAUGAUACUAAUUAUUUCAUGUUGUGUCAUUAUUUGAAAACUAAGUCUUAUUAUUACUACUUCACU
Triticum urartu is the source of this 1808-nucleotide long non-coding RNA. RefSeq lists it as uncharacterized. NCBI's taxonomy places the organism in Eukaryota, Viridiplantae, Streptophyta, Magnoliopsida, Poales, Poaceae. The record is from RefSeq and is a predicted model, not a curated record.